UUACAACCGCACAAACAAAGGUUUAAAGUAUGGAAACAUCACCUUGCUUGGCGAGUCUUAAAA
This 63-nucleotide small RNA is filed under the name Amedibacterium intestinale. Lineage: Bacteria; Bacillati; Bacillota; Erysipelotrichia; Erysipelotrichales; Erysipelotrichaceae. The record is from RNAcentral.